GACGAACGCUGGCGGCGUGCUUAACACAUGCAAGUCGAGCGGACAGGCCCUGCUUUUGUUGGGCGCUCGAUUGGCGAACGGGUGAGUAACACGUGUGUAACCUGCCCUUGACUUUGUGAUAACUUCAGGAAACUCGGGCUAAUACCGGAUAGGAGCUCCUGCUGCAUGGUGGGCGUUGGAAAGUUUCGGCGGUUGGGGAUGGACUCGAGGCUUAUCAGCUUGUUGGUGGGGUAGUGGCUUACCAAGGCUUUCACGGGUAGCCGGCCUGUGAGGGUGAACGGCCACAUUGGGACUGAGGGACGGCGCAGACUGCUACGGGAGGCAGCAGUGGGGAGUAUUGCACAAUGGGCGGAAGCCUGAUGCGGCAACGCCGCGUGCGGGAUGACGGCCUUCGGGUUGUAAACCGCUUUCGCCGGUGACGAAGCGUGAGUGACGGUAAUGGGUAAAGAAGCACCGGCUAACUACGUG
RNAcentral lists this ribosomal RNA (468 nucleotides) under uncultured bacterium. Its description in RNAcentral is "partial 16S ribosomal RNA". It matches the Rfam family "Bacterial small subunit ribosomal RNA", at positions 28 to 507 of the family's 1533-position model. The record is from RNAcentral.